This 315-nucleotide ribosomal RNA is filed under the name uncultured crenarchaeote. RNAcentral's name for it is "bacterial SSU rRNA". It matches the Rfam family "Archaeal small subunit ribosomal RNA", at positions 327 to 637 of the family's 1478-position model. Lineage: Archaea; Thermoproteati; Thermoproteota. The record is from RNAcentral.
GGGGUGCAGCAGGCGCGAAACCUCCUGCAAUAGGCGAAAGCCUGACAGGGUUACUCUGAGUUGAUUUCCGUUAAGGAGAUCUUUUGGCACCUCUAAAAAUGGUGCAGAAUAAGGGGUGGGCAAGUCUGGUGUCAGCCGCCGCGGUAAUACCAGCACCCCGAGUGGUCGGGACGUUUAUUGGGCCUAAAGCAUCCGUAGCCGGUUCUACAAGUCUUCCGUUAAAUCCACCUGCUUAAACAGAUGGGCUGCGGAAGAUACUAUAGAGCUAGGAGGGCGGGGAGAGGGCAAGCGGUACUCGAUGGGGUAGGGGUAAAA